GCGGGCAUAGCUCAGUUGGGAGAGCGUCAGACUGAAGUGGGUUUCUUUAGACCCUGGAAACUUCAUUCAAUCUAUCUGAAGGUCGUGUGUUCAAUCCACACUGGCCGCA
The sequence is a transfer RNA, 109 nucleotides long. It matches the Rfam family "tRNA". Rfam says of the family: Transfer RNA (tRNA) molecules are approximately 80 nucleotides in length. Their secondary structure includes four short double-helical elements and three loops (D, anti-codon, and T loops). The record is from Rfam.